This 1517-nucleotide long non-coding RNA is filed under the name Cricetulus griseus (Chinese hamster). Its description in RNAcentral is "lncRNA (ENSCGRG00015034314.1)". Lineage: Eukaryota; Metazoa; Chordata; Mammalia; Rodentia; Cricetidae. The record is from RNAcentral.
AAAAAAAAAAAAAGCAAUGGAAUCUUGAAAUUCACAGGCAAAUGGAUGGAACUAGAAGAAACCAUUCUGAGUGAGAGCCCUCAUCCAGUGGCUGAUGGAAGCAGAGACAGACAUCCACAGAUAUCACUCAGCUGAAAUCUGGUACUUUGUUGAAGAGAGGGAGAAAUGAAGAUUGAAGGGGAAAAAUAGACAUACUUCAGGCUUCAUGAAUGGGGUGACCUACGUGGAACUGCAAGCACAAAUUAUUUCACUAGACAUUUUGCUGUAAUGUUUCAGUGCUAACCAAAGUCAUCCUUCUGUGGUCAGUUAGCAAUUCUACUGCUGACUUUCAGGCUCAGAAUGCAGGUUGGAUAUUGUCCUCUCAAGGUCUGUGAAAAAUUGUGCUGGGAUUUUGAUGGGGACUGCAUUGAAUCUGUAGGUUGCUUUUGAGCCUUCAUGCAGCAGCUGAUGGAAGUAGAAGCAGAUACCAACAGUUAAACACAGAAAUGAACUGGAAUCUUGUUGCAGAGAAGGAGGAGUGAUGAGAAAAGUGGACAAGACCAGGCUGGUGAAACCCACAGAAAGAGCUGACCUGAACAACAGGGACCUCUUGGCCUCCAGACAGAUAGCUGGAAAACCAGUAUGGAACUUAUCCAGACCCCAUGAAUAUGGGUGUCAUGGAGGAGACUUUGGAAAUCUGUGGGGCCUCUUGUAGUAGAUCAGUACUUAUCCCUAGCAUAGAAAUGAACUUUGGUAGCCAUUUCACAUAGAGGGAUACUCCCUCAGCCUAGAACCACAGGGAUGGCCUAGGCCCUAUCCCAAAGGAUAUUACAGACUCUGAAGACCCCCUUGGCAGUCCUCACUCUCCCUGGGGUGCAGAAAUGGUAUGGAAUAGGUAGGGUGCCAGUGGGAGACAGGGGAGGAGAGAAGGGAAAGGGAACUGGGUUUGACAUGUAAAACAAUCUUUUUCUAAUUUAAAUAAAUAAUGGAGGAAAAUAUUAAAUGAUGAUUUUGAGGAACAAAGUGAUUAAGAGCUCAUGAUCACACAGGAUAAUAGAGUCUUAAAACCAUGAAGCCUAAUUGUUGCAUAACUACCCUGUCUUUCUUUUGGUUUGUGAAACUAAGGCUCAUUUAAAGGAAUGAAUACCACAUUAUUCAAUAACUACUAGCUUAUGUUUUUGACUGGAAAGAUAGUCACACUGCUUUUUUUUAAAAAAAAAAUCAUUUAUCAACACAAAUUACUUGAUUUACCUAAAAAUAUGCGGCCUGAUAUAGAAGUAGUGACUGUUCUCACAUAUUUUAUUUAUCUGGAUGUAUUUGCAAGUGUUACAACCUUCAUUGACUAGUGAUUACCAUGUAGGACAACACAGAUUCUUUACAGUUGUGAACAGUAGCAAUGACACAUGUCUAAUUCAAAGUGUGUCAUUGGAGAAAAUCCAGGGCAAGGGUUAGUUGGAUGUUACAAUUGCAGAUGUAAAACCUAGUGAGUAACAACCUUUGCUUUAAUGAAAUUCACAAGUUAUAAAAUACAGUAUUCA